This 438-nucleotide ribosomal RNA is filed under the name uncultured bacterium. RNAcentral describes it as "bacterial SSU rRNA". It matches the Rfam family "Bacterial small subunit ribosomal RNA", at positions 355 to 786 of the family's 1533-position model. The record is from RNAcentral.
UAGGGAAUUUUCGUCAAUGGGGGAGACCCUGAACGAGCAAUGCCGCGUGUAUGAAGAAGGUCUUCGGAUCGUAAAGCACUGUUGUAAGUGAAGAAUGCCACAUAGAGGAAAUGCUAUGUGGGUGACGGUAGCUUACCAGAAAGCCACGGCUAACUACGUGCCAGCAGCCGCGGUAAUACGUAGGUGGCAAGCGUUAUCCGGAAUCAUUGGGCGUAAAGGGUGCGUAGGUGGCACGAUAAGUCUGAAGUAAAAGGCAACAGCUCAACUGUUGUAUGCUUUGGAAACUGUCGAGCUAGAGUGCAGAAGAGGGCGAUGGAAUUCCAUGUGUAGCGGUAAAAUGCGUAGAUAUAUGGAGGAACACCAGUGGCGAAGGCGGUCGCCUGGUCUGUAACUGACACUGAUGCACGAAAGCGUGGGGAGCAAAUAGGAUUAGAUACC